This is a long non-coding RNA of Acinonyx jubatus (cheetah), 1401 nucleotides long. RefSeq lists it as uncharacterized. The record is from RefSeq and is a predicted model, not a curated record. The transcript is spliced from 3 exons. NCBI's taxonomy places the organism in Eukaryota, Metazoa, Chordata, Mammalia, Carnivora, Felidae.
UAUUAGAAAAUUCAAAACCACAUGCAAAACUUCUGUUAUAUUUCUAUCGGAAGCACGAAGGGUGAAGCGGGUAUCUGAAAUGAUUCUGGGUCCCCGCCCAGGAGACAGCCCGUGAUAAUGGUGAGAAUGGAACACAGCUCCAGCUUCCUGGAUGCAGGUUAUCCAAUGAGGAUAUUUCACUGGAGGGACAGACCUAGAACUGGAGGCUAAUCCAUGGAGGCAGAGGCAGUGAAGUCAUGGGACAGAGCGUGAGGAGCCCAGGAGAGAAGGGAAUCGUUUCAAAGAAUACCCCUAACGAAAGGAACAAAAUAAAGGGAGGAAGAAAGAGUUGUCUGUGUCCUACAAAACCAUUGGAAAGGAAUCCAUCCUCAUAUCUGGUGAGUAAGGUAAACCAAGGCCCUGACAUCAAGAUGCUUAAACUCUGCUCAACGUUACCAGCAAUGAACAAGAAAACAACAAGGCAGUCUACUUUUUUUAAGUUUAUUUAAUUAUUGUGAGAGAGAGAGAGAACAAGCGCUCGGGAGCAGGGAAGGGGCAGAGAGAGAAUCCCAAGCAGGCUCCACGCCAUGAGCACAGAGCCCGAUGCGAGCCUCCAACCCACGAUCUGUGAGAUCAGGACCUGAGCGGAAGCCAAGAGUUGGGACGCUUAACCGACUGAGCCACCCAGGCGCCCCCAGGAGAUUGCACUUUUAAAUAUUAGGUGUAACGAGGGGUGGGGGACACUGCUUUAGAUGGAGAGGUGGGUGUGGCCUCUAGGAGGAGGUGCUAUUGAAGCAGAGGCUUUUUUUUCCCUAAAGUUUACUUAUUUUUGAGAGAGAGGGAGACAGAGCGCAAGCAGAGGAGGGUCAGAGAGAGAGGGAGACACCAAAUCCGAAGCAGGCUCCAGGUUCUGAGCUGUCAGCAGAGCCCAAUGCGGGGCUGGAACUCACAAACCGUGACAUCAUGACCUGAGCUAAAGUUGGACGCUCAACGGACUGAGCCACCCAGGCGCCCCUGAAGACUUUAACGAUGGGAAGGAGGAGCAUGAGACGCUAGAAUGUAACAAGUUCUAGGAGGAUCAAAGAGGCUGGUGUGGCUGGAAUAGAGUAAGGUGGGGGAGGGUCGGGUCCAGAUCAUUCCACACAUACCAGGGGAAGCCAGAAGAGGGUCAAGAGUAGAGGCUGGAAACAGUGCGGGAGGUGGGGACAGCACUGUCAUAGGAUGGCAGAGGGAAGCUGGGGCUGUGGGCUCGGACUGAAGUGUGCCUCUCUGGGUCCCCAGGGCCAAGACAGGUGUUCCGUUCUGAGUAGGUGCCUGGGAACCCAGAGUCCUGACCCGCGUCCUGCCACUGUUGGCUACCUCCAUGCCUUUCAUACACUGACCCUUCGCUAUUUACUUCCCCAUCAGGGUCCAACAUGGUUU